UUCCAGAUAAAUUAUUUUAAAAUUGACACUAUUUCCUAUUGAAUGCCUUAAGUUUCAAUUUUCAAUGUUUUUAAAAAGCCUCACAUGGAAUGCCACUUGAUUUCUUUUUAAAGUGUUCUUGUAGUCUUAGAAAAAUUAGGAUCUGAUCAUUUGCAAUAUCUGCAGGUAACAAACUCAAGGAUUGCUGAACAGUGGAAUGGCGACAAUGAUGCAAUUGCUAAAAUGAAAGCAACUGAAGACACUCUGGAAGCCAAAGAAAAGCAAAAGCCUUCAUUUGAGCUGUCUGGGAAGCUUGCAGAUGAAACUAAUCGAGUCAGAGGUGAUUACUACACUUUGACAUAACAAGCAAAAUGGCAAAAUGUUUGUUUCAAACGUUGUUUGGUGGGAUAGGGGAUAUAUUUUGGUUUCUUUGAAACUUUUCUCUUACUGUGCUACAUGUAUAUAUGGAAAUAGAUUAGCUGAACAGGAAAAUCCUUUAAGUUUCUUCCUCCAUAUG
This is a long non-coding RNA of Olea europaea var. sylvestris, 496 nucleotides long. RefSeq lists it as uncharacterized. NCBI's taxonomy places the organism in Eukaryota, Viridiplantae, Streptophyta, Magnoliopsida, Lamiales, Oleaceae. The record is from RefSeq and is a predicted model, not a curated record. The transcript is spliced from 3 exons.